AACUCGUGUAUGUUGCAAAAUACUGGGAUGAAAUGUGUUUAGGGGUGAAAGGCUAAUCAAAUUCGGAUAUAGCUGGUUUUCUACGAAAAUUAUUUACGUAAUGCAUUAAAAUUUAUAACAUAGGGUAAAGCACUUGAUAACUAAAGAAAGGGGUCGUUAAAAACUUCGCUGAUGUUUCUUAAAACUUUGAAUAUAUGUUAUAUAAUAAUUUUAAUAGGCAGAUUAUGAGUGCUAAGAUUCAUAAUCAAAAGGGAAAAAGCCCAGACUUUUAAUUAAGGUUUUUAAAUUAUAAUUUAAUGGUUGAAGCUUUAAAUAUAUAAAGACAGCCAAGAGGUAGGCUUAGAAGCAGCCAUCCUUUAAAGAAAGCGUUCAUGCUCAAUGGUCGAGUAUUUAUUUAGGCAGAAAAUUUGUGAAGCUUUAGUUAUAUACCGAAAUUAAAGAAUUUAUAAAAAUUGGUAGUAGAACGAAUAAUAAUUUAUUUAAUUAGAAAAAUUGUUAAAUUUUUUAUUAAAUUUAAUUUUGUAGAAUGUUGUAC
This 535-nucleotide ribosomal RNA is filed under the name uncultured bacterium. RNAcentral's name for it is "bacterial LSU rRNA". It matches the Rfam family "Bacterial large subunit ribosomal RNA", at positions 777 to 1290 of the family's 2925-position model. The record is from RNAcentral.